Cyanistes caeruleus (blue tit) is the source of this 2881-nucleotide non-coding RNA. Lineage: Eukaryota; Metazoa; Chordata; Aves; Passeriformes; Paridae. The record is from RefSeq and is a predicted model, not a curated record.
CCCAGGGGCCUGAAGCGGCACGGCACGGCACGGCAGGCGCGCCUCAGUGAGCGGAAUUAUUCUAACGAGCCGUCAUUUGACCUUAGUGUUAGUUAUGGGCAGGUCCAUUAUUUGAAAAGUUUGUUACAUCUUAUGAGCUCAAAGAAGGUUGCACAGUAAUGAAACACAUUGAGAAUUUUUGGCUUUUGAUGACUUCUAGAGAGCUUUCCAUUUCUCCUAAGUUAUCUGAAAAAAUAAUAUUUGAAGCCACCAGAUUUUAUAAUUUAAAAAAAAGAAAGAUAAAAAAAUACUAUGCAGCAAAAUGUCUCAAUGCAGUCAUAUUCAACAAAAUGAUCAGGAGUUUAUUAUGCACCUGAUGUACACCUGAUUAGAAUGUCAUUGUACCGUAAAACUCAACGUUCUUGACACAGGAGUUGCAGAAGUGGCUGCUAAGGAUGUUUUCCUCUAAGAUAAUAAUCAAGUACUGUAGAAGAAGAAGGCAUUAGAAUAUGUGUGUACUGUUCAAGCAGUAGAGAACAGCCCUGGGGUUGCUGAGACGCAUGCACAAAUAGAGAGGUUGUAUUUCUACAUUCAAAAAUGCGUAUGGGGACAAAUUCAGAUCUUACUAUCAAGACAACCCAACACUUCAUAUUGCCAAAUGGCCUGCAGAAACAGACUCAUUCCUGAUUCUCAUGCAUUUAAAAUCCUGACUGUUUGGGACUGCAGGAUUUUCACUCUCUCAUGUUAUCAGGUUAAAUGUGUACUGUGAUGCCACUAUCACUGAAGUUUCAACAGGCAGAACUUUUCCUUUUAUACAAACAAAUUUAUUGCUUCAUUGGUUUGCAUAAUAAAAGUGUGAGGAUCUACAAAUUAAAAGCAUGACUCACCUCUAUAAAAAAAUGGCUGGAUGGAAUGAAGACUGAUGAUCUUUGAAAGUGUGAUUUCUAAAACAGUAAACCACUAAACACACUAUGUUCUGCAUAAAUGGAUAAAGCUGGUCAGAUGCAAUGAACAAAAUUACUUUUAAGAGAAGUCGAUCAGGAUUCUGAUGGCUGCAUCAGCUUCAAAGAGUUUGAAUCUGUAAUGAAGUACGGACAAGAUGAAGUAUCACCAGUGUUCUUUGCCUAAGGAAUAUUUUCUGGUAAAAAGACAAACUGAAAACUUCAGAUCUCAAGAUAUUUAAAAAUCAAUGAAACUUCAUUUGUUUCAGCCAGCAUUUUAAGAACUUUGACUGUACAAUGAAACUAGGAUCUUCCUCUUUUUUAAUUCCGAGGCAGGUAAUAUGCAAAUAAUGAGAGGAAGUUGGAGACGCUGAGUAUAUCAGCAGAUAUACCUGAUUCUUUAUAUAAAAAAAGAGGUACCUUGAUGAAAUGAGCUGUAACUCAAAUAUCAUGCUUUAUGUGCUAAUCAGUGGGAGCAAACUGGCGUUGCCCUUGAAAGGUGAUGGUAAGACAUGCUAAUAAAUUGGAGCUAUGCCUUAGAAAUGCCAUUUCCCAAUAGAUGAAUGUUUUCAUAAGAGAAUCAUCACCAUGGAUGUUAAUUAGCAAUAUCAUCACAUGCUCUUCUGAGAUGCAGGAGAUUGAAUUACUAUCCCACAGGGAUAGUUGCUACAGGUCUAUGCACAGUCAUGAGAAAAUGUAUGAGUUUGCUGUGUUAUUACUUGGACUGUAUUUUUUUGUUCAGUAGACCUCAGGUUUUCUAUUGCCCAAACCCUAUACCCUUCCUAAACAAUAAAUCCAUGCAGUAUUAUUUUAUUGGGAUAUAUUAAUUUAUCAUUAUUUAUUAUUUUGCUUAUUUUAAAAUAAUUAUUUAGUUCAUAAGGAGCAGUUAAAAAUGCUGUGGCCUCCUGUUUAUAUUUCUAGUACACCUGUGAUUUGUUGUCUAAAUAGCUGACAAUGUAUAUGCUAUAUUGUACAUGCAUAAUAUUCUGUUAAAUAUUUUACCAAAGAGAAAUAUCUGUGCUUUUAAUAAUAAGAAAUGUAUAUACAUCUUGUAUAUAUGGCAAGGAACUCUAGAGAGGAAAAUGCUCUUAUCUCCUUUAUUUCCACUUGUUCUCAAUCCUUAUUUUCUCAAGGACUUGUAAAGGUGCUAUGAACUUGAAUUGCUGAGUUAACAUAAACUCCAGGAGAGGCCAAUGACAUUUUUUUACUGUGUUGGAAUUUUUUUAGAAAAGAGCAGAUCUAUAUUAAAGUAUGAUAAGUACUCUCAUUUCUCUUCCCAUGGGAACUGACAGAAAGGAACUGCUGAUGACCACAGUGAAGUGGAACUGAGUAGGCCAUGGUGACACUCUUCCUUUUGAAUACUAGAAUAGAAAUUAAUUACUAGCUACUGCUUGUCUGGGUUUUGGCUAGCAAACUGCAGAAACACUUCAGCCUUGGCUAAAACUGGAUAAAAUUAGGAGUGACAUUUAUUAGGUGAUGGCCUAUUCCUACUAAUGGUUUGGGAAAAAACCAAAAGCAAUGGCUACUCAGCUAUUGGGCAAAAGAGACUACAUGCUCCUCAGUUUUUGUUUUCUGCUGCUGGUGUUAGAGCUCAACAUCAAGUGUCAACAUGGUAAGGACUGGCAGAGCUAAGGGCUAUGAUCAACCUUAGCCUACAAGCUGCAACUCUGUCAACUCAGUUUAACUCCAGACUGACAUAAAAUGGGGCUAUUCACUCCUUAGCAGGUUACAUUUUUAUCUGCAACAUUUUCAAGAGUGUGAGGACAUCAAUGAUGAAAGUGAUAUGGGCCAAGAUAAUAAAAUUUUUUGUUUGAUUGCUGCCAUCUUUUCCCCUGGGAAGCAUAACUGUCUGAACCUCCAGAACUGAAAAAAACCCGAGUUGCAGUAGCUAAAGAGCUAUUGCUCUCUGACAAAUAGUUAUUCAUGUACCUUAUGGACCAGGGGAUGUUCAGGAUUUACUU